RNAcentral lists this ribosomal RNA (449 nucleotides) under uncultured bacterium. Its description in RNAcentral is "partial 16S ribosomal RNA". It matches the Rfam family "Bacterial small subunit ribosomal RNA", at positions 29 to 523 of the family's 1533-position model. The record is from RNAcentral.
AGCGAACGCUGGCGGCAGGCCUAACACAUGCAAGUCGAACGAGCUCUUCGGAGUUAGUGGCGGACGGGUGAGUAACACGUGGGAACGUGCCUUUAGGUUCGGAAUAACUCAGGGAAACUUGUGCUAAUACCGAAUGUGCCCUUCGGGGGAAAGAUUUAUCGCCUUUAGAGCGGCCCGCGUCUGAUUAGCUAGUUGGUGAGGUAAAGGCUCACCAAGGCGACGAUCAGUAGCUGGUCUGAGAGGAUGAUCAGCCACAUUGGGACUGAGACACGGCCCAAACUCCUACGGGAGGCAGCAGUGGGGAAUCUUGCGCAAUGGGCGAAAGCCUGACGCAGCCAUGCCGCGUGAAUGAUGAAGGUCUUAGGAUUGUAAAAUUCUUUCACCGGGGACGAUAAUGACGGUACCCGGAGAAGGAGCCCCGGCUAACUUCGUGCCAGCAGCCGCGGUAA